AGUGAACGCUGGCGGUAGGCCUAACACAUGCCAGUCGAACGGCAGCACAGUAAGAGCUUGCUCUUACGGGUGGCGAGUGGCGUACGGGUGAGGAAUACAUCGGAAUCUACUUUUUCGUGGGGGAUAACGUAGGGAAACUUACGCUAAUACCGCAUACGACCUACGGGUGAAAGCAGGGGAUCUUCGGACCUUGCGCGAUUGAAUGAGCCGAUGUCGGAUUAGCUAGUUGGCGGGGUAAAGGCCCACCAAGGCGACGAUCCGUAGCUGGUCUGAGAGGAUGAUCAGCCACACUGGAACUGAGACACGGUCCAGACUCCUACGGGAGGCAGCAGUGGGGAAUAUUGGACAAUGGGCGCAAGCCUGAUCCAGCCAUACCGCGUGGGUGAAGAAGGCCUUCGGGUUGUAAAGACCUUUUGUUGGGAAAGAAAAGCAGCAGGUUAAUACCACGCUGUUCUGACGGUACCCAAAGAAUAAGCACCGGCUAACUUCGUG
This 492-nucleotide ribosomal RNA is filed under the name uncultured bacterium. RNAcentral's name for it is "partial 16S ribosomal RNA". It matches the Rfam family "Bacterial small subunit ribosomal RNA", at positions 29 to 507 of the family's 1533-position model. The record is from RNAcentral.